RNAcentral lists this ribosomal RNA (1427 nucleotides) under metagenome. RNAcentral describes it as "bacterial SSU rRNA". It matches the Rfam family "Bacterial small subunit ribosomal RNA". The record is from RNAcentral.
CGAACGGUGACCUCGAGAGCUUGCUCUUGGGUGAUCAGUGGCGAACGGGUGAGUAACACGUGAGUAACCUGCCCCAGACUCUGGAAUAACCCCGGGAAACCGGAGCUAAUACCGGAUACGAGACGGAGCCGCAUGGCUACCGUUUGGAAAGUUUUUCGGUCUGGGAUGGACUCGCGGCCUAUCAGCUAGUUGGUGAGGUAACGGCUCACCAAGGCGACGACGGGUAGCCGGUCUGAGAGGGCGACCGGCCACACUGGGACUGAGACACGGCCCAGACUCCUACGGGAGGCAGCAGUGGGGAAUAUUGCACAAUGGGCGAAAGCCUGAUGCAGCGACGCCGCGUGAGGGAUGAAGGCCUUCGGGUUGUAAACCUCUUACAGCAGGGAAGAAGCGAAAGUGACGGUACCUGCAGAAGAAGCACCGGCUAACUACGUGCCAGCAGCCGCGGUAAUACGUAGGGUGCGAGCGUUGUCCGGAAUUAUUGGGCGUAAAGAGCUUGUAGGCGGUUUGUCGCGUCUGCCGUGAAAAUCCGAGGCUCAACCUCGGACUUGCGGUGGGUACGGGCAGACUAGAGUGUGGUAGGGGAGACUGGAAUUCCUGGUGUAGCGGUGAAAUGCGCAGAUAUCAGGAGGAACACCGAUGGCGAAGGCAGGUCUCUGGGCCACUACUGACGCUGAGAAGCGAAAGCGUGGGGAGCGAACAGGAUUAGAUACCCUGGUAGUCCACGCCGUAAACGUUGGGAACUAGGUGUGGGCCUCAUUCCACGAGGUCUGUGCCGCAGCUAACGCAUUAAGUUCCCCGCCUGGGGAGUACGGCCGCAAGGCUAAAACUCAAAGGAAUUGACGGGGGCCCGCACAAGCGGCGGAGCAUGUGGAUUAAUUCGAUGCUACGCGAAGAACCUUACCAAGGCUUGACAUAUACCGGAAACACCCAGAGAUGGGUGCCCCGCAAGGUCGGUAUACGUGGUGCAUGGUUGUCGUCAGCUCGUGUCGUGAGAUGUUGGGUUAAGUCCCGCAACGAGCGCAACCCUCGUUCUAUGUUGCCAGCGCGUAAAGGCGGGGACUCAUAGGAGACUGCCGGGGUCAACUCGGAGGAAGGUGGGGAUGACGUCAAAUCAUCAUGCCCCUUAUGUCUUGGGCUUCACACAUGCUACAAUGGCCGGUACAAAGGGCUGCGAAAUCGCAAGAUGGAGCGAAUCCCAAAAAACCGGUCUCAGUUCGGAUUGGGGUCUGCAACUCGACCCCAUGAAGUCGGAGUCGCUAGUAAUCGCAGAUCAGCAACGCUGCGGUGAAUGCGUUCCCGGGCCUUGUACACACCGCCCGUCAAGUCACGAAAGUCGGUAACACCCGAAGCCGGUGGCCCAACCCCUUGUGGGAGGGAGCCGUCGAAGGUGGGACUGGCGAUUGGGACUAAGUCGGAACAAGGUA